This 429-nucleotide ribosomal RNA is filed under the name uncultured archaeon. Its description in RNAcentral is "bacterial SSU rRNA". It matches the Rfam family "Archaeal small subunit ribosomal RNA", at positions 474 to 903 of the family's 1478-position model. The record is from RNAcentral.
UACCAGCUCUCCGAGUGGUAGGGAUGAUUAUUGGGCUUAAAGCGUCCGUAGCCGGCUUAGCAAGUCUCCUGUUAAACUCAGCGACCUAAUCGUUGAAUCGCGGGAGAUACUACUAGGCUAGGAGGCGGGAGAGGUCGACGGUACUUCUGGGGUAGGGGUGAAAUCCUAUAAUCCCGGGAGGACCACCAGUGGCGAAGGCUGUCGACUAGAACGCGCUCGACGGUGAGGGACGAAAGCUGGGGUAGCGAACCGGAUUAGAUACCCGGGUAGUCCCAGCUGUAAACGAUGCGGGCUAGGUGCUGGGAUGGCUACGGGCCAUUUCAGUGCCGCAGGGAAGCCAUUAAGCCCGCCGCCUGGGGAGUACGGCCGCAAGGCUGAAACUUAAAGGAAUUGGCGGGGGAGCACCACAAGGCGUGAAGCUUGCGGUUC